RNAcentral lists this transfer RNA (77 nucleotides) under Olavius sp. associated proteobacterium Delta 1. Its description in RNAcentral is "tRNA-Met-CAT". It matches the Rfam family "tRNA". Rfam says of the family: Transfer RNA (tRNA) molecules are approximately 80 nucleotides in length. Their secondary structure includes four short double-helical elements and three loops (D, anti-codon, and T loops). The record is from RNAcentral. Lineage: Bacteria; Deltaproteobacteria.
AGCGGCGUAGCUUAGUCGGGUAAAGCAGCUGGUUCAUAUCCAGAAGAUCGCUGGUUCAAAUCCAGCCGCCGUUACCA